This is a long non-coding RNA of Humulus lupulus (European hop), 891 nucleotides long. RefSeq lists it as uncharacterized. NCBI's taxonomy places the organism in Eukaryota, Viridiplantae, Streptophyta, Magnoliopsida, Rosales, Cannabaceae. The transcript has 2 exons. The record is from RefSeq and is a predicted model, not a curated record.
CCUACAACAAUUACACAGACUUUCACCACCUUUUCUCUUGCGAUAUCUCAAUUUGACUGACACCAUUUCUAUUUCCUUGUCUCCCUCACUCUGCCACCCUCUCUCGCUCGCCGUCUCCCUCACCUAGUCCGUUGUACCCUCUCUCGUCAUUGACCUCCUCUCGAAAUCUCUAUCCAGUGGCACCACAACAUGUUAGUUUUUGCAAGUCUUUUUCCUCUCAAAUCAAAAAAUCAGUCGACCUCUCUCCAUCAAUUCGACAGUGUUGCUCGCAAUCAAGAAGCAUUAAGUUGUUGCUGUAGGAUUGAGUUCGGGCUCAUGUCUGCUGUCACGGCCAUAUGCACUUCUCUCCAUGGAUUUGUGAGUAUUUCUUUCUUUGUAUCUAUCUCUUUGUGGUUAGUUUUGUAGAUGAUGAUGGUGGUUGUAGCACUGCCAUUUUUUUGUUUCGAGGUUUUCUUGUAUGCUUUUUUUUGUCUAGGUUUUGCUAUUUUGGUUUAUGAGUUUUUUUUUGUCACUUUUUCUGUUUGGGUGUUUGCAGAUGGUGAUGAUGGUGUGUGCUUUUGCUUGAAUCACUAAUCAAAGAUGUGGUUUUCUUUUGGGUUUGGUUUACACGAAGAAAGCUAAUUUGAAAUGUUGUUAUAUACCAAAGUGAAAUUUAAAUGCUAUAAUCAUAGUAAAUGCAAUUAAACUAACUUUUGUAUUGUUCCUUGAAUUCCUUACAGAUGAGACCCUAUUUCGAUAAUAAAUCUUAAAGAAAAAAAAUUACAGAAGGAGUGGGUUAGUUUUUGUGAAUUGAUGAAUUUGAAUGGUAUAUUUGUAAUACUAUUUGUUCAACUGAAAUUAAUAUGAGAUUCUAACGAAUCUUGUUUAGAAGGGUGAGAUCAUUUUUCUUUA